This 70-nucleotide transfer RNA is filed under the name Dipodomys ordii (Ord's kangaroo rat). It matches the Rfam family "tRNA". From Rfam's summary of the family: Transfer RNA (tRNA) molecules are approximately 80 nucleotides in length. Lineage: Eukaryota; Metazoa; Chordata; Mammalia; Rodentia; Heteromyidae. The record is from Rfam by way of RNAcentral.
GGAAAUGUGGCUUGGUGGUAGAGUGCUUGCCUAGCAUGCAUGAAGCCCUGGGUUCGAUUCCUCAGUACCA